UGCAUUUAAUCAACACAUAAAAGACUAAAAUACCCCUAACCCUCUUACCAGUCACCCUUCCUCUUUCUUAUCCACGCACCCUCAUCUCACACCAGCGCCAUUCUUUCUUCUAUAACAUCAAACCCAUCAACAAAUUAGAUUUACAACUCCAAAAUCAUAUCCUUAAACUCCAAAAUCAGACCCUUAAACUCCAAAGUCGGAUCCGAGGCGUUGGAAUCAGGAAGGUAUCUGUCAAUCUUUUUACGACUUCUCUUUAACUGAUCUUUCUCUGUUUUUUUUCUGUUCAUUAUCCUUUGUUUCUGGAUAACUACGCAGAGUUCUUAGAACAUGACGAAAUCAAAGAAGUGGGUAGCUGGCAUAAGCAUCGACGUAAACUUAGAAGAGCAGACGUGGAGAAACAGAGAAAAGUUAAGGGGAAUAAAAGUAAAGAUCAAAUAAAUAAAUUAAGAUGGAUAAGAAGUGUUUUGCAAAUUUUCUCAACUUGUAAGAACGUAUGGGGAUAGUUUUCUACGACUUUUGUUACUAUGUUCUUAUUUGGUAAAACCUGUUAGCUUGUUUGUAUGGAAUAGUUUGUUUGUUCAAAAACAAAUGUGGAUUUCAUUUCAUUUUAUGGUCAGUCUACUAGUUAUGUCGUUAUUUUCUAGGAUUGUGUUUGAUGAGUCUGGAUUGGCGGCAAGGAAAGGGGUUCCUUACAGCCAGCAGAUAAAACGUGAAAUGGGUGACUUUGUUUAUAUGAAAUAAUUUAAUUACAACGCCCAA
This 759-nucleotide long non-coding RNA is filed under the name Linum usitatissimum (flax). Its description in RNAcentral is "long non-coding RNA (LUSI_LNC007350)". Lineage: Eukaryota; Viridiplantae; Streptophyta; Magnoliopsida; Malpighiales; Linaceae. The record is from RNAcentral.